UAGGGAAUAUUGCUUAAUGGGCGCAAGCCUGAAGCAGCAACGCCGCGUGUGCGAUGACGGCCUUCGGGUUGUAAAGCACUUUUUGAGGGGAUGAGGAAGGACAGUACCCUCAGAAUAAGUCUCGGCUAACUACGUGCCAGCAGCCGCGGUAAAACGUAGGAGGCGAGCGUUAUCCGGAUUUACUGGGCGUAAAGCGCGUGCAGGCGGCUCGAAAAGUUGGAUGUGAAAGCUCCUGGCUUAACUGGGAGAGGUCGUUCAAUACUUUCGGGCUUGAGGAUGGGAGAGGGAGGUGGAAUUCCGGGUGUAGCGGUGAAAUGCGUAGAUAUGGGGAGGAACACCAGUGGCGAAGGCGGCUUUCUGGACGGUGUCUGACACUGAGGCGCGAAAGCCAGGGGAGCGAACG
This 403-nucleotide ribosomal RNA is filed under the name uncultured bacterium. Its description in RNAcentral is "bacterial SSU rRNA". It matches the Rfam family "Bacterial small subunit ribosomal RNA", at positions 355 to 774 of the family's 1533-position model. The record is from RNAcentral.